This 462-nucleotide ribosomal RNA is filed under the name uncultured bacterium. Its description in RNAcentral is "partial 16S ribosomal RNA". It matches the Rfam family "Bacterial small subunit ribosomal RNA", at positions 28 to 507 of the family's 1533-position model. The record is from RNAcentral.
GACGAACGCUGGCGGCGUGCUUAACACAUGCAAGUCGAGCGGUAAGGCCUUUCGCGGUACACGAGCGGCGAACGGGUGAGUAACACGUGGGUGAUCUGCCCUGCACUUCGGGAUAAGCCUGUGAAACUGGGUCUAAUACCGGAUAUGACCUCCUAUCGCAUGGUGGGUGGUGGAAAGAUUUAUCGGUGCAGGAUGGGCCCGCGGCCUAUCAGCUUGUUGGUGGGGUAAUGGCCUACCAAGGCGACGACGGGUAGCCGACCUGAGAGGGUGACCGGCCACACUGGGACUGAGACACGGCCCAGACGCCUACGGGAGGCAGCAGUGGGGAAUAUUGCACAAUGGGCGAAAGCCUGAUGCAGCGACGCCGCGUGAGGGAUGACGGCCUUCGGGUUGUAAACCUCUUUCAGCAGGGACGAAGCGAAAGUGACGGUACCUGCAGAAGAAGCACCGGCUAACUACGUG